Molecule: ribosomal RNA, 669 nt
Filed under: uncultured bacterium
Lineage: Bacteria
Description: bacterial SSU rRNA
Rfam family: Bacterial small subunit ribosomal RNA
Source: RNAcentral
AACGCUAGCUACAGGCUUAACACAUGCAAGUCGAGGGGAAACGACAUCGAAAGCUUGCUUUUGAUGGGCGUCGACCGGCGCACGGGUGAGUAACGCGUAUCCAACCUGCCCAUCACUUGGGGAUAACCUUGCGAAAGUAAGACUAAUACCCAAUGAUAUCUCUAGAAGACAUCUGAAGGAGAUUAAAGAUUUAUCGGUGAUGGAUGGGGAUGCGUCAGAUUAGCUUGUUGGCGGGGUAACGGCCCACCAAGGCUACGAUCAGUAGGGGUUCUGAGAGGAAGGUCCCCCACAUUGGAACUGAGACACGGUCCAAACUCCUACGGGAGGCAGCAGUGAGGAAUAUUGGUCAAUGGGCGAGAGCCUGAACCAGCCAAGUAGCGUGCAGGAUGACGGCCCUAUGGGUUGUAAACUGCUUUUAUAAGGGAAUAAAGUGAGCCUCGUGAGGCUUUUUGCAUGUACCUUAUGAAUAAGGACCGGCUAAUUCCGUGCCAGCAGCCGCGGUAAUACGGAAGGUCCGGGCGUUAUCCGGAUUUAUUGGGUUUAAAGGGAGCGUAGGCCGGAGAUUAAGCGUGUUGUGAAAUGUAGAUGCUCAACAUCUGCACUGCAGCGCGAACUGGUUUCCUUGAGUACGCACAAAGUGGGCGGAAUUCGUGGUGUAGCGGUGAAAUG